RNAcentral lists this ribosomal RNA (468 nucleotides) under uncultured bacterium. Its description in RNAcentral is "partial 16S ribosomal RNA". It matches the Rfam family "Bacterial small subunit ribosomal RNA", at positions 28 to 507 of the family's 1533-position model. The record is from RNAcentral.
GACGAACGCUGGCGGCGUGCCUAACACAUGCAAGUCGAACGGAAACGCCCUGCCUUUUUGCGCUGCUCGAGUUGCGAACGGGUGAGUAACACGUGGGUAACGUAUCCUUCCCUUUGGGGUAUGCUCAUGAAACUUAGUCUAUUCGCAGACAGGAUCUCCCGCCGUAUGGUGGGCCUUGGUUAGUUUCGCCGGUUGGGGAUGGACGCGCCGCUGAUGGGCUUGUUGGUGGGGUAGUGGCUUACCAAGGCCUGGCAGGGUAGCCGGCCUGAGCGGGUGAACGGCCACAUUGGGACUGAGAUACGGCCCAGACUCCUACGGGAGGCAGCAGGGGGGAGUAUGGCACAAUGGGCGGAAGCCUGAUGCAGCAACGCCGCGUGCGGGAUGACGGCCUUCGGGUUGUAGACCGCUUUCGCCUGUGACGAAGCGUGAGUGACGGUAAUGGGUAAAGAAGCACCGGCUAACUACGUG